AAAGCAGGUUGCAAUUACAGUGCUUUCUUUUGUGGAAGUAUUGACAUUAUCCUGCUGAAAGAAAAUCUGUGUUGAUCGUUUUUUGAUUUUGCCAUUUAUGGGGGUAAAAUCAUGACAGAUUGACAUGAACAGUU
Bos grunniens (domestic yak) is the source of this 134-nucleotide small nucleolar RNA. Ensembl annotates it as small nucleolar RNA, H/ACA box 69. NCBI's taxonomy places the organism in Eukaryota, Metazoa, Chordata, Mammalia, Artiodactyla, Bovidae. The record is from Ensembl.